UACGUAGGGGGCGAGCGUUGUCCGGAUUUAUUGGGCGUAAAGAGCUCGUAGGCGGUUUGGCAAGUCGGGUGUGAAAACUCCGGGCUCAACUCGGAGACGCCACUCGAUACUGCCAUGACUCGAGUCCGGUAGGGGAGUGCGGAAUUCCUGGUGUAGCGGUGGAAUGCGCAGAUAUCAGGAGGAACACCAACGGCGAAGGCAGCUCGCGGGGACGGUACUGACGCUGAGGCGCGAAAGCGUGGGGAGCGAACAGG
Molecule: ribosomal RNA, 254 nt
Filed under: uncultured bacterium
Lineage: Bacteria
Description: partial 16S ribosomal RNA
Rfam family: Bacterial small subunit ribosomal RNA
Source: RNAcentral